Molecule: signal recognition particle RNA, 95 nt
Filed under: Planctomycetota bacterium
Lineage: Bacteria; Pseudomonadati; Planctomycetota
Description: Planctomycetes bacterium signal recognition particle sRNA small type
Rfam family: Bacterial small signal recognition particle RNA
About the family: The signal recognition particle (SRP) is a universally conserved ribonucleoprotein involved in the co-translational targeting of proteins to membranes. Archaeal SRP consists of a 7S RNA and homologues of the eukaryotic SRP19 and SRP54 proteins. In most bacteria, the SRP consists of a 4.5S RNA and the Ffh protein (a homologue of the eukaryotic SRP54 protein).
Source: RNAcentral
UGAGGGGCCCCCGCGAUGGGGCACUGUGAACCGGGUCAGGCCUUAACCGGAGCAGCCCUAAGCAGCUCGUCCUUUGUGCGACGGGCCUCUCAUCC